This 460-nucleotide ribosomal RNA is filed under the name uncultured bacterium. RNAcentral describes it as "partial 16S ribosomal RNA". It matches the Rfam family "Bacterial small subunit ribosomal RNA", at positions 338 to 795 of the family's 1533-position model. The record is from RNAcentral.
CCUACGGGAGGCAGCAGUGAGGAAUAUUGGUCAAUGGGCGCGAGCCUGAACCAGCCAAGUAGCGUGAAGGAUGACUGCCCUACGGGUUGUAAACUUCUUUUAUAAAGGAAUAAAGUGAGGCACGUGUGCCUUUUUGUAUGUACUUUAUGAAUAAGGAUCGGCUAACUCCGUGCCAGCAGCCGCGGUAAUACGGAGGAUCCGUGCGUUAUCCGGAUUUAUUGGGUUUAAAGGGAGCGUAGGUGGGUUGUUAAGUCAGUUGUGAAAGGCUGCGGCUCAACCGUAAAAGUGCAAUUGAUACUGGCAGUCUUGAGUACAGGUGAGGUAGGCGGAAUUCGUGGUGUAGCGGUGAAAUGCUUAGAUAUCACGAAGAACUCCGAUUGCGAAGGCAGCUUACUAAACUGCUACUGACGCUGAUGCUCGAAAGUGUGGGUAUCAAACAGGAUUAGAUACCCGAGUAGUC